Molecule: ribosomal RNA, 252 nt
Filed under: uncultured bacterium
Lineage: Bacteria
Description: partial 16S ribosomal RNA
Rfam family: Bacterial small subunit ribosomal RNA
Source: RNAcentral
UACAUAGGAUGCAAGCGUUAUCCGGAUUUACUGGGCGUAAAACGAGCGCAGGCGGGUUAACAAGUUUGGUAUGAAAGGCUUUUGCUUAACGAAAGUUUGUAUCAAAAACUGUUAAUCUAGAGUGUAGUAGAGAGUUCUGGAAUUCCAUGUGGAGCGGUGGAAUGCGUAGAUAUAUGGAAGAACACCAGUGGCGAAAGCGGCUCUCUGGUCUGUAACUGACGCUGAGGUUCGAAAGCGUGGGUAGCAAACAGG